UGGCUCUCGCAUCGAUGAAGAACGCAGCGAAAUGCGAUAAGUAAUGUGAAUUGCAGAAUUCAGUGAAUCAUCGAAUCUUUGAACGCACCUUGCGCUCCUUGGUAUUCCAAGGAGCAUGCCUGUUUGAGUGUCAUGGAAUUAUCAACUUCUAUAGCUUUUGUUGUAGAAGCUUGGAUGUGGAGGUUGUGUUGGCUUGCAAAGGUCAACUCCUCUGAAAUGCAUUAGUGUGAACCUUACGGAUCGCCUUCAGUGUGAUAAUUAUCUACGCUGUGGUGUUGAAGUAUACUGUGUCAUGCUGACAACCGUCCGCAAGGACAAUUUUGACAAUCUGACCUCAAAUCAGGUAGGACUACCCGCUGA
This 360-nucleotide unclassified non-coding RNA is filed under the name uncultured fungus. RNAcentral describes it as "partial contains 5.8S ribosomal RNA and internal transcribed spacer 2". The stretch from base 1 to 133 matches the Rfam family "5.8S ribosomal RNA", at positions 22 to 154 of the family's 154-position model. The record is from RNAcentral. Lineage: Eukaryota; Fungi.